This 2418-nucleotide ribosomal RNA is filed under the name human gut metagenome. RNAcentral describes it as "bacterial LSU rRNA". It matches the Rfam family "Bacterial large subunit ribosomal RNA", at positions 319 to 2820 of the family's 2925-position model. The record is from RNAcentral.
AUCUGAGGACUUAGCAGAAUGGUAUGGGAAAGCCAACCAGAGAAUGUGAUAGUCAUGUAUGCGAAAAGGAAUCAGAGCUAGCAGGAUCCAAAGUACCGCGGGACACGAGGAAUCCCGUGGGAAGUCGGGGGGACCACCCUCCAAGCCUAAAUACUACCCAAUGACCGAUAGCGAAAAGUACUGUGAAGGAACGGUGAAAAGAACCCCGGGAGGGGAGUGAAAAGAACCUGAAACUCUGUGCUUACAAGCACAUAGAGCACGUCAAUGUGUGAUAUGGUACCUUUUGUAGAAUGGUCCGGCGAGUUAUGGUAUGCAGCAUGGUUAAGGACUUGAGGUCUGAAGCCGAAGCGAGAGCGAGUCUGACAAGGGCGAUAAGUUGUAUGCCAUAGACCCGAAACCGGGUGACCUAGCCAUGUCCAGGCUGAAGUGGAGGUAAAACUCCAUGGAGGGCCGAACCGACCUCCGUUGAAAAGGCGGCGGAUGAGAUGUGGCUAGCGGAGAAAUUCCAAUCGAACCCGGAUAUAGCUGGUUCUCCCCGAAAUAGCUUUAGGGCUAGCGUUGUAUUAGAUUACCGGAGGUAAAGCACUGAAUGGGCUAGGGGCUGAGAAGUUACUGAACCCUAUCAAACUAAGAAUGCCGGAUAAUUGAUGUACAGCAGUCAGACUAUGUGAGAUAAGUCUCAUAGUCAAAAGGGAAACAGCCCAGACCCACAGCUAAGGUCCCAAAAUGGAUUUAAGUGGAAAAGGAUGUGGAAUUGCACAGACAACCAGGAUGUUGGCUUAGAAGCAGCCACUCAUUAAAAGAGUGCGUAAUAGCUCACUGGUCGAGUGACUCUGCGCGGAAAAUAUAACGGGGCUAAGCAUGAAACCGAAGCUUGGGCUUGUACUUAGGUACAGGGGUAGGGGAGCGUCGAGUAUGGGGUGAAGUCAGAGCGGAAGCACUGGUGGACUGUACUGGAGUGAGAAUGCCGGAAUGAGUAGCGAGAAUUAUGUGGGAAUCAUAAUGGCCGAAAAUCUAAGGUUUCUUGGGGAAGGUUCGUCCGCCCAAGGUAAGUCGGGAGCUAAGCUCAGGCCGAGAGGCGUAGGCGAUGCACAUACGGUAGAAAUUCCGUAACCACCGAACUUUAAGCAUGAGGGACACUUUGAGAUAGCGGAACCCGGGCGUUGGUUGACCCGGGCGAAAGGGACCGAAAUAUAGUAGGGAAGUCCGCGAUGCUCGGAGGCGAGAAAAGCUCAUGUGUAUACUAAGGUGCCCGUACCGCAAACCGACACAGGUAGAUGAGGAGAGAAUCCUAAGGCCAACGGGAGAAGGGUUGUUAAGGAACUCGGCAAAUUGACCCCGUAACUUCGGAAGAAGGGGAGCCCCCUACGGGGGGUCGCAGAGAAAUGGCCCAAGCAACUGUUUACCAAAAACACAGGUCUAUGCUAAAUCGAAAGAUGACGUAUAUGGGCUGACGCCUGCCCGGUGCCGGAAGGUUAAGAGGAGAUGUCAGGCAACGAAGCAUUGAAUUUAAGCCCCGGUAAACGGCGGCCGUAACUAUAACGGUCCUAAGGUAGCGAAAUUCCUUGUCAGGUAAGUUCUGACCCGCACGAAAGGCGUAAUGAUCUGGGUACUGUCUCAACCAUAGACUCGGUGAAAUCUUAAUACCUGUGAAAAUGCAGGUUACCCGCGACUGGACGGAGAGACCCCGUGGAGCUUUACUGUAGCUUGAUAUUGGAAUUCGGUAAACUAUGUAGAGCAUAGGUGGGAGACUAUGAGACUAAGGCGCCAGCCUUAGAGGAGUCACCAUUGGAAUACCACCCUUAGUUUAUUGGAUUUCUAACCUAGAGCCAUUAUCUGGUUCAGGGACAGUGUCUGGUGGGCAGUUUGACUGGGGCGGUCGCCUCCUAAAAUGUAACGGAGGCGUUCAAAGGUUCCCUCAGAAUGGUUGGAAAUCAUUCAAAGAGCGUAAAGGUAUAUAGGGAGCUUGACUGCGAGACCUACAAGUCAAGCAGGUGCGAAAGCAGGACUUAGUGAUCAGGCGAUUCAGAAUGGAAUGGUCGUCGCUUAACGGAUAAAAGUUACCCCGGGGAUAACAGGCUGAUACCACCCAAUAGUUCACAUAGACGGUGGUGUUUGGCACCUCGAUGUCGGCUCGUCAUAUCCUGGAGGUGGAGUCGCUUCCAAGGGUUGGGCUGUUCGCCCAUUAAAAUGGCACGCGAGCUGGGUUCAGAACGUCGUGAGACAGUUCGGUCCCUAUCCGUCGUGGGCGCAGGAAAAUUGAGGAGAGCUAUCCUUAGUACGAGAGGACCGGGAUGGACCUACCUCUGGUGUAUCUGUUGUCACGCCAGUGGCAGUGCAGAGUAGCUAUGUAGGGAAGGGAUAAACGCUGAAAGCAUCUAAGCGUGAAGCCCUCUCCAAGAUGAGUUUUCCCAUUGU